GACGAACGCUGGCGGCGUGCUUAACACAUGCAAGUCGAACGGAAAGGCCCUGCUUUUGUGGUGUGCUCGAGUGGCGAACGGGUGAGUAACACGUGAGUACCCUGCCUGUGAUUUUGGGAUAACUUCAGGAAACUGGGGCAAAUACCGGAUAGGAGCUCCUGCGGCAUGGUGGGGGUUGGAAAGUUUCGGCGGUUGGGGUUGGACUCGCGGGUUAUCAGCUUGUUGGUGGGGUAGUGGCUUACCAAGGCUUGGACGGAUAGCCGGCCUGAGAGGGGGAACGGCCACAAGGGGACUGAGAGACGGCGCAGACGCCAACGGGAGGCAGCAGUGGGGAGUCUUACACAGUGGUCGGGAGCCUGAGGCGGCGACGCCGGGGGCGGGAUGCCGGCCUUCGGGUUGAAAACCGCUUGCGCCUGUGACGGAGCGGGGGUGACGGUAAUGGGUGAAGAAGCACCGGCUAACUACGUG
Molecule: ribosomal RNA, 468 nt
Filed under: uncultured bacterium
Lineage: Bacteria
Description: partial 16S ribosomal RNA
Rfam family: Bacterial small subunit ribosomal RNA
Source: RNAcentral